This 375-nucleotide ribosomal RNA is filed under the name Nematoda sp. RNAcentral's name for it is "SSU rRNA". It matches the Rfam family "Eukaryotic small subunit ribosomal RNA", at positions 252 to 626 of the family's 1831-position model. The record is from RNAcentral. Lineage: Eukaryota; Metazoa; Nematoda.
CUGAAUAACUCAGUUGAUCGCACAGUCCUCGCACUGGCGACGUAUCUUUCAAGUGUCUGCCUUAUCAACUGUCGAUGGUAGUUUAUACGACUACCAUGGUUGUAACGGGUAACGGAGAAUAAGGGUUCGACUCCGGAGAGGGAGCCUGAGAAACGGCUACCACAUCCAAGGAAGGCAGCAGGCGCGCAAAUUACCCACUCUCAGUACGAGGAGGUAGUGACGAAAAAUAACGAGACGGUUCUCUAUGAGGUCCGUCAUCGGAAUGGGUACAAUUUAAACCCUUUAACGAGGAUCUAUUGGAGGGCAAGUCUGGUGCCAGCAGCCGCGGUAAUUCCAGCUCCAAUAGCGUAUAUUAAAGUUGUUGCGGUUAAAAAG